Molecule: ribosomal RNA, 253 nt
Filed under: uncultured bacterium
Lineage: Bacteria
Description: partial 16S ribosomal RNA
Rfam family: Bacterial small subunit ribosomal RNA
Source: RNAcentral
UACGUAGGGUGCGAGCGUUAAUCGGAAUUACUGGGCGUAAAGCGUGCGCAGGCGGUUUCACAAGCUCGAUGUGAAAGCCCCGGGCUUAACCUGGGAAUGGCAUUGAGGACUGUGGAGCUCGAGUGCGGCAGAGGGAGGUGGAAUUCCACGUGUAGCAGUGAAAUGCGUAGAGAUGUGGAGGAACACCGAUGGCGAAGGCAGCCUCCUGGGCCGACACUGACGCUCAUGCGCGAAAGCGUGGGGAGCAAACAGG